GUGAGAAAUGAUGUAGUUGAUACCGCCCCAGUCUGAUUAUGAACUGACUGACUGGUACACCUCUGAUCUCUG
Clarias gariepinus (North African catfish) is the source of this 72-nucleotide small nucleolar RNA. The record is from RefSeq and is a predicted model, not a curated record. NCBI's taxonomy places the organism in Eukaryota, Metazoa, Chordata, Actinopteri, Siluriformes, Clariidae.